GACGAACGCUGGCGGCGUGCUUAACACAUGCAAGUCGAACGGAAAGGCCCUGCUUUUGUUGGGUGCUCGAGUGGCGAACGGGUGUGUAACACGUGAGUAUCCUGCCCUUGACUUUGGGAUAACUUCUGGAAACUGGGGCUAAUACCGGAUAGGAGCUCCUGCUGCAUGGUGGUGGUUGGAAAGUUUCGGCGGUUGGGGAUGGACUCGCGGCUUAUCCGCUUGUUGGUGGGGUAGUGGCUUACCAAGGCUUCGACGGCUAGCCGGCCUGAGAGGGUGACCGGCCACAAUGGGACUGAGAGACGGACCAGACGGCUACGGGAGGCAGCAGUGGGGAAUAUUGCAGAAUGGGGGGAAGCCUGAUACAGAGACGCCGCGAGCGGGAUAACGGCCUUCGAGUUGUAAACCACUUUCGCCUGUGACGAAGAGUGAGUGACGGUAAUGGGUAAGGAAGCACCGGCUAACUACGUG
Molecule: ribosomal RNA, 468 nt
Filed under: uncultured bacterium
Lineage: Bacteria
Description: partial 16S ribosomal RNA
Rfam family: Bacterial small subunit ribosomal RNA
Source: RNAcentral